RNAcentral lists this unclassified non-coding RNA (341 nucleotides) under uncultured Funneliformis. RNAcentral describes it as "sequence contains ITS2". The stretch from base 1 to 52 matches the Rfam family "5.8S ribosomal RNA", at positions 103 to 154 of the family's 154-position model. Lineage: Eukaryota; Fungi; Glomeromycota; Glomeromycetes; Glomerales; Glomeraceae. The record is from RNAcentral.
AACGCAAAUUGCACUCUCUGGUAUUCCGGGGAGUAUGCCUGUUUGAGGGUCGUUAGAAAAAAAAAUCGAAGCGUCGCUCUUUGUGAAAAAUAUUUAAUAUAUAUUUCGUUUUGGGUGAUUGCCUCGGAAUUGAGCCGUCUUUCAUAUGUUUAUUCAUGUCAAAGUGGCUUAAAAUUCAUCAAUCUUGGUACGAUUUAAAGCGUAUUUAAGAUCAUCAUUGAUUAAGAACGCGCGAUGACGUAUCAUCUCAUGUAGUACGUUCGACCUGCUUUGUCAGGCUCAUUCGUAUACGACACUCAACUUUUGACCUCAAAUCAGGUAAGAAUACCCGCUGAACUUAA